UACGUAGGAUGCAAGCGUUGUCCGGAAUUAUUGGGCGUAAAGAGCGCGCAGGCGGUAUGACAAGUCAGAUGUGAAAGAGGCCGGCUUAACCGGCAAGGGUCAUUUGAAACUGUCAGACUAGAGUGCAGCAGAGGAUAGUGGAAUUCCCGGUGUAGUGGUGAAAUGCGUAGAUAUCGGGAGGAACACCAGAGGCGAAGGCGACUAUCUGGGCUGCAACUGACGCUGAGGCGCGAAGGCUAGGGUAGCAAACAGG
Molecule: ribosomal RNA, 253 nt
Filed under: uncultured bacterium
Lineage: Bacteria
Description: partial 16S ribosomal RNA
Rfam family: Bacterial small subunit ribosomal RNA
Source: RNAcentral